CGAUGACGUCAGCGGCCGGCCCCUCCCGCCCCCGUCGGCCCGCCCACUCCUCGCUCCUCCUCCCCCUUCUGGAACAGUCCUGCCGCUUCCCCCGCCCGCUCGGUCGCCGAGAGCCGGCUGCGCGCAGGCGCACUGGGCCGGCCGCGCGGCGCGGCGCGGGAAAGCUGUGUCGGGGCGGCCGAGGCCGCGGCGCCGGGGCUGAGUGGAGGCCGGCGUCGCGCGGGGCCGCGCACGGAGGGCCCGAGUCCGCGCCGCAGAGGGGCCGCCGCGAGACGUGCCACCAUGCAGGGACGUGAUCACUUGUAUCGACGCGUCAUGCUGCCGACUGAAAUGGAGAGGAGCACGUGGCAGUUAAGCGUUCCUGGUGCCCUAUUUCACGGCACCAACAAACGGAAUAUUACUUCUAAAACACUAUGAAAUACCAGGUCCUGUCCUCAGUGCUAUUUCGGGGGAAUUAAACGUUCACUGAUCGGUGAGAAGCUCCAGCGUUUCUUUUGGGGGCCGAUCAGUGGGAGGAAGAGGAAGAUUCUCAGGGAUUGUCUUGGCGCCCCAGAGGGCCUCGUUGGUGUCGGGGUUCGCCCGCUCAUACCCGGCAAGCGUGUCUUAGAUGGGGUCAGACACUUUGUACUAGCCUGCUCCUGCAUUCUUUAUUACUUGCAGGGCUCUGAGCCUGGCCUAGGCUGUCUGUGAUCUAUGACUUACCUGCCAGACGUCUCUGCUGAUCCCCCCACGUGUCCCCCCACCACUCCUGUUUGGUAUCCUGAUGUCAUGGAGAAGUUCCUCUGGCCCGCUAGAAAAAAGUUCCUCCCCCGUGUUAGUAAGUGUUCCGAAGUCUUGGCCAGACCUCACAGCAGACAACUUUGUUCCCCGGUGUUUGUGGUCAAGGCUGGGAGAGGCGCCGGAAAAGAGGGCUUUUCUGGAAAAAUUUCAGCCCUCAGUUUGAGUGGAGAUGGCUGCCUCCUCUUGCUUCUAACCAGUGCAGCCGACCAGAACAGGCAGCUGGGGGCCAGGAGAGGGCCUUCUAGCUGCUUGGGCCUGGCCCCACCCUAGGCGGCCCCACCAGCACACCCACCCCAUAGCGGCGGGAGGCUGGAGCUGCCUUCCCAGGGGCGAGGAGCUACCAGCAGUGAGGGCUGGGGGCCCAAAGUGAGUCCAGAGGGAAGUCUGUCAGGGUGUGCGUGGAGAGAGGUGAGGCCUCCCCCCACCGCAUAAGUAAGAAGGAAGCUACGGGGGCGUAAGACAGGCAAAUAACAUCAGCGCCCACACUCCCAUCACGUCCUCUCUUCUAAGACCUUUGCCCAAGGCCACUCUCCCAGUCCCUCAGAGAAGAAGGCAGGAGUGAGGACGGAAGGGCCAGCCUGGCUGUUCUGUCACUGGACCUCACCAGGGUAGGGCUGAAGAGGGUCCAGAAAAGAAAGCUAGCUUAGUGGCCUGUGAAUUUCAUCUCCCCCCCCCCAUCUACUUAAACUGAAAACAAACAAGUGAAACAAAACACAGAGGCACCAGGGCCACGCCCCAUGUGCCCCACAAACUGGGGGACCUGCCUGGCCUCUGCAGGCACCGGGUUCAACCAUGGAGGAGGGUUCCCCGGGGCGGCCCACCCCUGGCAUGUUUGUGGACUCGGGAUCCACAACUGCCCUGCUUCUGGACCAGGAAAGCCCCUCCCCAGGGUCCCCACCCAGAGUCCUGGGCCCCGCUGUGCAAAACCCAGUCUCCUGAGUUUCCUAUAAACAACUGCUCACUGGUGUUAAGACUCUCCCUCCCUCUCUCUCUCUCUCUCUCUUUCUCUCUCAAAAAAAAAAAAGCGAUUUAAAGAUAAUUAAUUGUAUUAAACUAUUGACUAACUACCUCACUCAAUAGUAAUUCAUUUAGAGAAUAUUAAAAUUGGAGGAACAAUAAUAAAAUUGAUGCCAAUUCCCACGGGGAGGAAGAUGGCCAGCAAAUUGGAUACUUUCCUUAAUCUGGCGUAAAUAAUAACAGUCUGCUCCCCUUCUCUCUCAGGCCGAUUCCCCUAUCAUUUAUUCCAGACUCUAAAGCCGGGCUUCAUAAUUGAUAUCAGUUACUCAAUGAGUGCUUUUUCAUUUGUUCUUGUUAUCCGUGAUAAUUGCGAAGUUCAGCCUCUCUCAGAGUUGAGAUUCGGCGGCUCUACCGUGGAGGCCUGCCCGGUUCCUCCGGCGCCGUGCAGGGGCAAGGCUGGGAGGUGGGGGGCUCUGGCUGCCUCCUCCCCGGCUGGGUUUUACUCCUUGCGGCCAGCGGCACACUAGCCCGAUCCUGGGGCCGAGCCGCAGGGACCCGACCGUGGGCGCAGAAAGUGCGCGGGGCCUUCGCUGGGGCCGUGACCGUCCAUCCAGAGCCCCGCCAUCCCCGACAGGGCACGUUUGGUGGCAAACCCAGGGUCCAGAGCUGCUCCAACAAUCCGUAUUUGUUUGAAAACCGGUGGGUGAAAGCGAUGAAUCCCAAACGACAUCUGGGGACAAAAUGCCACAGAGCCUGGAGGAAAUUUUGGGAGAUAGGGAAAGGGAGGGACACUUGACGGGGGCAGCUGGGCCAGGGGUCGGGCGCGGCGGGCCGGAAGGACACGUCCUGGCUGCCUGCUGCCCGCGCGCUGCCUCCCACGCCGCCCCGGGCGCAGGAUGGUCGCAGACUGGCCGGCCGGAGCCCUGGCAGCUAGUCGGGUCCUCGAGAUGACUAUUUCGUUACUUAUUCACUUAUUUAUUCAUUUAUAAAGUGUUUACUUAGCUCGGUGCAGAUGUAACAUCUCAUUUACAGCGUGGCCUCGGGGCAUAGAAACAAUUGGCAACAAAAGCGUAAC
Molecule: long non-coding RNA, 2812 nt
Organism: Acinonyx jubatus (cheetah)
Lineage: Eukaryota; Metazoa; Chordata; Mammalia; Carnivora; Felidae
Exons: 3
Source: RefSeq, a predicted model, not a curated record